RNAcentral lists this transfer RNA (48 nucleotides) under Cyprinus carpio (common carp). Its description in RNAcentral is "partial tRNA-Pro". Lineage: Eukaryota; Metazoa; Chordata; Actinopteri; Cypriniformes; Cyprinidae. The record is from RNAcentral.
UCACCCCCUGGUCCCAAAGCCAGAAUUCUAAACUAAACUAUUUUCUGG